This 253-nucleotide ribosomal RNA is filed under the name uncultured bacterium. Its description in RNAcentral is "partial 16S ribosomal RNA". It matches the Rfam family "Bacterial small subunit ribosomal RNA", at positions 524 to 776 of the family's 1533-position model. The record is from RNAcentral.
UACGGAGGGGGCUAGCGUUUUUCGGAAUUACUGGGCGUAAAGCGCACGUAGGCGGAUCAGAAAGUCAGAGGUGAAAUCCCAGGGCUCAACCUUGGAACUGCCUUUGAAACUCCUGGUCUUGAGGUCGAGAGAGGUGAGUGGAAUUCCGAGUGUAGAGGUGAAAUUCGUAGAUAUUCGGAGGAACACCAGUGGCGAAGGCGGCUCACUGGCUCGAUACUGACGCUGAGGUGCGAAAGCGUGGGGAGCAAACAGG